GAGUCGGCCAGACAGUCGCUGGGAAAAUUUUCCUGGAGGAAAGUCCGGGCUCCACAGGGCAGGGUGCCAGGUAACGCCUGGGGGGCGCGAGCCUACGGCCAGUGCAACAGAAAAUAUACCGCCAGUUUCGACUGGUAAGGGUGAAAAGGUGCGGUAAGAGCGCACCGCGUCGGUGGUAACACUCGGCGGCAUGGUAAACCCCACCUGGAGCAAGGCCAAAUAGGGGAACGUUAAGUGUGGCCCGCACGGUUCCCGGGUAGGCUGCUUGAGGCAUGCGGUGACGUAUGUCCAGAUGAAUGGCUGUCCAAGACAGAACCCGGCUUAUCGGCCGACUCCU
This 337-nucleotide RNase P RNA is filed under the name marine sediment metagenome. RNAcentral's name for it is "Bacterial RNase P class A". It matches the Rfam family "Bacterial RNase P class A". Rfam says of the family: Ribonuclease P (RNase P) is a ubiquitous endoribonuclease, found in archaea, bacteria and eukarya as well as chloroplasts and mitochondria. RNAcentral also lists the same sequence under 1 other name. The record is from RNAcentral.